Molecule: ribosomal RNA, 1296 nt
Filed under: uncultured bacterium
Lineage: Bacteria
Description: bacterial SSU rRNA
Rfam family: Bacterial small subunit ribosomal RNA
Source: RNAcentral
UGGCUCAGGAUGAACGCUAGCUACAGGCUUAACACAUGCAAGUCGAGGGGCAGCAUUUCAGUUUGCUUGCAAACUGGAGAUGGCGACCGGCGCACGGGUGAGUAACACGUAUCCAACCUGCCGAUAACUCGGGGAUAGCCUUUCGAAAGAAAGAUUAAUACCCGAUGGUAUAAUCAGACCGCAUGGUCUUGUUAUUAAAGAAUUUCGGUUAUCGAUGGGGAUGCGUUCCAUUAGGCAGUUGGUGAGGUAACGGCUCACCAAACCUUCGAUGGAUAGGGGUUCUGAGAGGAAGGUCCCCCACAUUGGAACUGAGACACGGUCCAAACUCCUACGGGAGGCAGCAGUGAGGAAUAUUGGUCAAUGGGCGCAGGCCUGAACCAGCCAAGUAGCGUGAAGGAUGACUGCCCUAUGGGUUGUAAACUUCUUUUAUAUGGGAAUAAAGUUUUCCACGUGUGGAAUUUUGUAUGUACCAUAUGAAUAAGGAUCGGCUAACUCCGUGCCAGCAGCCGCGGUAAUACGGAGGAUCCGAGCGUUAUCCGGAUUUAUUGGGUUUAAGGGAGCGUAGGUGGACAGUUAAGUCAGUUGUGAAAGUUUGCGGCUCAACCGUAAAAUUGCAGUUGAUACUGGCUGUCUUGAGUACAGUAGAGGUGGGCGGAAUUCGUGGUGUAGCGGUGAAAUGCUUAGAUAUCACGAAGAACUCCGAUUGCGAAGGCAGCUCACUGGACUGCAACUGACACUGAUGCUCGAAAGUGUGGGUAUCAAACAGGAUUAGAUACCCUGGUAGUCCACACAGUAAACGAUGAAUACUCGCUGUUUGCGAUAUACAGUAAGCGGCCAAGCGAAAGCAUUAAGUAUUCCACCUGGGGAGUACGCCGGCAACGGUGAAACUCAAAGGAAUUGACGGGGGCCCGCACAAGCGGAGGAACAUGUGGUUUAAUUCGAUGAUACGCGAGGAACCUUACCCGGGCUUAAAUUGCAGAUGAAUUACGGUGAAAGCCGUAAGCCGCAAGGCAUCUGUGAAGGUGCUGCAUGGUUGUCGUCAGCUCGUGCCGUGAGGUGUCGGCUUAAGUGCCAUAACGAGCGCAACCCUUGUUGUCAGUUACUAACAGGUUCCGCUGAGGACUCUGACAAGACUGCCAUCGUAAGAUGUGAGGAAGGUGGGGAUGACGUCAAAUCAGCACGGCCCUUACGUCCGGGGCUACACACGUGCUACAAUGGGGGGUACAGAGGGCCGCUACCACGCGAGUGGAUGCCAAUCCCCAAAACCUCUCUCAGUUCGGACUGGAGUCUGCACCC